Anas platyrhynchos (mallard) is the source of this 2034-nucleotide non-coding RNA. The record is from RefSeq and is a predicted model, not a curated record. NCBI's taxonomy places the organism in Eukaryota, Metazoa, Chordata, Aves, Anseriformes, Anatidae.
ACCUAAUACAAAAAAAGAACAAGAUGGAUUUUAUUACAAAGGGAAAUUACAGAGGAUAACUCCAAACAAACAAGGCAGCUGGGCAGGAAUAGGUCAGAUCUGGAGAAGGUGGAUGAUUUCAGGAGUUAAUAUAUCCACUUGGGAGCAGCCACAGAAGGAGGCAUGCAGGGCAACAGAGGGUGCCAUUGUGCUAAUCAUGCAAGCACUGGUGAGGGUGGUUUUCCUCUGUAGGCUCCGAGAUCUAGUAGAUAAAACAGUCAGGUAUAUUUAUUUAUAAAUCUCCAAGAAGUUGUGUUUGCGAGGCAGCAUUGCCAAUGCAAGCAGGAGGGUAUUGUGCAUGUUUUCUUGUAUAUAUAUAUCUAUGUAUAUAUUAAUACACAUUUUUGAAGGGAGUGCUUAAAUGCAGAAAAGCACACUUCCUAGGAGAACUAUAGUAAAUGACUUAAGCACACUUUCCUUCCUAGCUUCAUUUGCAGUCCAUCCACUGAUCUGUUGAUCUGGCAAUCUGCAUGCUCCCUGUUAAGUCUCUUCCCCACUCCCCAGUGCUUUGGCAUUGGAAUAUUUCCCUACACAUCUACUCUGGCUCGUGGUCCAGCAGAUCAAAGCACUCAGUCACUGGCAGCAUUUGUUUAUAGUAAAAAAUGCCAUAGCUUCAUAUCCAGAUUUAGCCCUCGCUUCUUAGUGCUGUAGAAAAGGGACAUUUUUAGAUACUCGAUGCUCAUUCCUAGCUCUCAAGUUAUCAGAAUUUAAAGUUGUAAUGUUCUUAUGAACCAAGAGGGCUAUUUUUGGUCAGAAGGAAGGCCUGUGACAGACCAAACAUAUUAAAGCCCAUUACUUUAUUAGAAGGAGGGUAAAAAAAAAUAGUCCUAAUUAAAUAUUUUUGAGCUCUCCUAAGCAUUCCUAAAAUAGCCAUUUGUGUAAGGGAAGGGGCAUAAGCAGAAUGCAUGACGAGGAGGAACAGUUUUCGAGGCACUCCUUUAGCUGCCUGCAUUAUUCAUACCACUUGCUAUGUGCCCAGCCCAAAGCCCGGCUGAUAAAAACCUCUUGCCCCUUCUGCCUUACCCAGAGGUCACAGCCAGGCACUUGUGAACGCAGCAGAAGACACUCGGUGAGUAAAAUCACUGAUGCCCUUUAAAUCACCCUAAAGCAGGCCGGGGUCUUAAAAGCUUAAGAGGAGAAGCUGAGCCGUACAAAUGUUGGUGUAAAAGCUCUGUUGUACAAACAGGAGCCGCGUUCCUAAGAUGCUGCCACCUUGGAUUUCACUAAAAACAACACCCCCCUUGCAACUGCCGAAUUAUUUAGACUGUGAAUUCUCAGGACAGGCAACCUUUAUUUUGAGUCUUGUGCUUUACAAAUCACUUACAUGUGGUGAAGCGCUCAUCCAGCCGGGCUCAGGGAAAGGUUUCUGCAGACUCAGGAGUCCUGCAGGCUCUAAAUCCUCUCUCCCACCAGAGCACAGGCUGAGGUACAUGUUGUGUUGUUAAAAUGCAAAUUUGAACACAAGUUUGGGUUUCUGCCUGUGUCUGAAAGGUAAUAUGGACUUAGAUCCCAUCACCUCUCUGUGGAAUAGGAACACCAGCAGUGUCCUAAGUGGAGGACAAUGUCAUGUUGGGCACUCAGAGGUUGCAGCAAUGAGAGCAGCUAAGCUUCUAACUAGCACUGGAGUUUUGUCACUGGAAGAUUUUUCUGAGCAGAAACGUGUGCUUACGAGACAAAGCUGUGUGCUAUACAAGUUGUCCCUUCUAUAUGACUGAUCUGGAAACAUCGGAUUCCCCUGAGUUUCACUUUGAAGGUGAAGAGGAUCAGGCCUGCAACAAAAAUCCCAUGAACAGAGAAACAGAAUUAUUAAAUGUGAUAUGGUCCAAGAAGGAUCCCAUAAUGGCAGUAGUUUGGAGGUAGGCCUACAGCUGCUGCUAAAGUGGGUCCCAAAGAAGGCCAAAAAGCUUCCAAACUUGAAGACAGCAUAUGUAGUUUGAACACAAACUAGAAAAAAUAACUUCCAAGCAAAGAAAACUCUGUGUGACUAAAUAAGAC